Oncorhynchus tshawytscha (Chinook salmon) is the source of this 436-nucleotide long non-coding RNA. RefSeq lists it as uncharacterized. The record is from RefSeq and is a predicted model, not a curated record. The transcript has 2 exons. Lineage: Eukaryota; Metazoa; Chordata; Actinopteri; Salmoniformes; Salmonidae.
GGACAGGUGAGGAGACCUGGAGAACAGUAAUGGACAGGUGAGAACAGUAAUGGACAGGUGAGGAGACCUGGAGAACAGUAAUGGACAGGUGAGGAGACCUGGAGAACAGUAAUGGACAGGUGAGGAGACCUGGAGAACAGUAAUGGACAGGUGAGAACAGUAAUGGACAGGUGAGAACAGUAAUGGACAGGUGAGGAGACCUGGAGAACAGUAAUGGACAGGUGAGAACAGUAAUGGACAGGUGAGAACAGUAAUGGACAGGUGAGGAGACCUGGAGAACAGUAAUGGACAGGUGAGAACAGUAAUGGACAGGUGAGGAGACCUGGAGAACAGUAAUGGACAGGUGAGGAGACCUGGAGAACAGUAAUGGACAGGUGAGGAGACCUGGAGAACAGUAAUGGACAGGUGAGGAGACCUGGAGAACAGUAAUGGACAG